Molecule: transfer RNA, 71 nt
Filed under: Klebsiella pneumoniae
Lineage: Bacteria; Pseudomonadati; Pseudomonadota; Gammaproteobacteria; Enterobacterales; Enterobacteriaceae
Also listed under: 10 other names
Description: tRNA-Met
Rfam family: tRNA
About the family: Transfer RNA (tRNA) molecules are approximately 80 nucleotides in length. Their secondary structure includes four short double-helical elements and three loops (D, anti-codon, and T loops).
Source: RNAcentral
GUAGCUCAGCUGGUUAGAGCACAUCACUCAUAAUGAUGGGGUCACAGGUUCGAAUCCCGUCGUAGCCACCA